This is a non-coding RNA of Cinara cedri, 261 nucleotides long. Lineage: Eukaryota; Metazoa; Arthropoda; Insecta; Hemiptera; Aphididae. The record is from the annotation of a GenBank genome assembly.
AAUAAUGUGGUACGCGCGUAGGUACCCUCCAUUGUUCACGAACGGAGCCACCGGAGCAAGGUAUUCUCGUUUGCCCGGACGCCGCCGCGGACUCGUCGUCGAAACGCGGUUUCCCGUUCAACGAGAGGGAAGUACCCCCCUCCACUCUUUCCUACUCUUCCGAGUAGGGGAAAAUGGAGGAAAGGGGAAAAUUGAAAUCCGCCGCGAAUAUUUCGAUUAAACCGCCCGUAGACGAGAGGCGCGGAAUCUGGAGUUUGGCGA